Molecule: long non-coding RNA, 1674 nt
Organism: Orcinus orca (killer whale)
Lineage: Eukaryota; Metazoa; Chordata; Mammalia; Artiodactyla; Delphinidae
Exons: 6
Source: RefSeq, a predicted model, not a curated record
UCCACUUGCACCAAAAUUACAUCCUGAAACUACAGCAUCACAAAGCCUUCACACACUCUUGACUCACAUUUGAGUCAUGUACAACACUUAAGUAUUAAAUAUUAUUUGCAAAACAACCAGUAUUGUCCAUUUAUGUGCGAUGGGGUAGGAGAGUUGGUGCUCCACACACAGAAGGAUGUCUGAGCAUGUGGCCCAUUAUUCACACCUAACACACAUCAGUACAUCUGUUUUGAAAUGCCGUUGCAUCCAGACUGUUGUCUAGUGGAUAAAGCCUCCUAUGGGCCCCAUAAAGUGUGCAAGGUGCCUGCAUUAGUCGUUUACUGUUGCAUGACAAAUCACCCCAAAAUGUAACAGCUUGAAACAGCAAUAAUCAUUUCACAUUUCUCACAGUUUCUGUGGGUCAGGAAUUUGGGAACAGCUCAGCUGGAGGCUCCGGCGCAGGGUCUCUCCUGAAGUUGCCGUCCAAGUGUCAGCUGGAGCUGUACCUGAAGGCUUGACUGGGACUGGAGGAUCCUCAUCCAAAGUGGCUCACUCUUAUGAUGUUCACGGGACUACAUGGUCUGGGCCCUCCGCCAGUGAUGUCUUCACUCCAAAGCAGCCUGACUCUUCAACUCAAGUGACCUUAUGUGGCCUAGGUUAAGAGCAUAAACUCGGGAUCCAGUCUGCUUAGAUUUUAAUCCCAGCUCUCUACUUCCCAGCUGGGUGACCCUGGCAAGAGAGGCUUCCUAGAAGAGGUGGAGGGAUUUCCAGGACUGGAACAAAGGGAGAGACCUUGACUCACAGGCAAGAAGACGAACUCAGAGGACAUCCUACCUCACCCAGUCUUUUUCAAAGGAGUCCCAGCAAAGGAGAGGUGCCUGACUAGGGAAUCCUACAUACCUACCAACUUCCAAAGGGCCAAAACUGAUCAAGAUGAGAUCAUACUGGAUUAGGAUGGGCCCUAAAUCCAACGACUGGUGUCCUUAGAAGAAGGAAAGAGGAUACACAGAGGGAAGAAGACCAUGUGAAGACAGAUACAGAGAUUGGAGUGACGGUACCAUAAGCCAAGGAACAACCGGAAUCACCAGGAGCUGAAAGAGCAAGGAAGAAUUGGAUUCCCUGUAGAAACUUCAGAGAGAGCACAGCCCUGCUGACAGCUUGACUUGGGACUUCUGGCCUCUAGAACUGUGGGAGAAUAAAUUCCUGUUGUUUUAAGCCACCCCAGUUUGCAGUACUUUGUUGCAGCAGCCUGAGGAAACUAAUCCACCAAUCAUCUCAGUUUACAGAGGAAGAAACCAAGUCCUGAAGAGAAACCAAGGUCAUCACUGUUCACCCACAGAAAGGUAGCAGCUAAACAGGGGCUAGAACCCAGCCCUCAGCCCCCAUCCAGGGCUCUCCCCUUAGGGAAUGCCCCAAGUCUUUGGCACAUGAUCUCACACCUAGGUUCGGGCCAGAGGAAGGCCUAUUUUGACAGAGCCACACAUCCCUGUGUGUGUAUGUCCUCCCCAGAGAGCACUCAGUGAGUGGAACCCACUUUUCCCGAUAAUGACUGACUCCUCAGUUCUGGGUGAGAGCUCUGACUGGUACAUCAUCUUGAGAGUUUGCUUGUAGCUGUCAUGAGAGAGGAAAUGCCAGCAAGCUCCCUCCCCCUGCUGAGAAGUUAAUCCCCAGAGACCUUGCUGACUGACACAUGGU